UGCAAUAGCUCAGUUGGUAAAGCAUGAGACUCUUACUUAAUCUCAGGGUCAUGGGUCUGAGCCCCACAUUGGGCAA
Podarcis lilfordi (Lilford's wall lizard) is the source of this 76-nucleotide non-coding RNA. NCBI's taxonomy places the organism in Eukaryota, Metazoa, Chordata, Lepidosauria, Squamata, Lacertidae. The record is from the annotation of a GenBank genome assembly.